Molecule: ribosomal RNA, 252 nt
Filed under: uncultured bacterium
Lineage: Bacteria
Description: partial 16S ribosomal RNA
Rfam family: Bacterial small subunit ribosomal RNA
Source: RNAcentral
UACGUAGGUGGCGAGCGUUAUCCGGAAUGAUUGGGCGUAAAGGGUGCGUAGGCGGCCUGCUAAGUCUGGAGUGAAAGGUACCGGCUCAACCGGUACAGGCUCUGGAAAAUGGCGGGCUAGAGAGCAGGAGAGGGCGGUGGAACUCCAUGUGUAGCGGUGAAAUGCGUAGAUAUCAGGAGGAACACCGGCGGCGAAGGCGGCCUGCUGGACCGUGACUGACGUUGAGGCUAGAGAGCGUGGGGAGCAAACAGG